This 739-nucleotide unclassified non-coding RNA is filed under the name Hevea brasiliensis (rubber tree). Lineage: Eukaryota; Viridiplantae; Streptophyta; Magnoliopsida; Malpighiales; Euphorbiaceae. The record is from RNAcentral.
AAAAAAAAAAAAAAAAAGAAAGUUAAUGCUUUUUGUUGUGGAUAAAAAAUGAACCCUAAAAUCUGUAUUUUGUUGCUGCAGACUUUGAGGUUUUGAUAUUAAAGGUUGGGAUAUUUGGUUCAAAAUUAGAACGUUUGGAUAUAACUGCUAAUUUGCAAAAAUGUUUGCCCAUUUCUGUCCAUUUAGCCUUUUAAUGAUAUUAACAAAUAGAAGAAAAUGAUUAAAUUUCUUAUAAAAUGUUCUCUAUGCAAUUUCUUUUGUGGAUAUUUUCAGUGAAACAAACAAAACUCUAGCUAUUUAAGUUGUUCAUGUUUGAAAUAAGGCAUUUUGAGGAUUCAACUUUGUAAGUGUUUGGUUUAAAGUUUUUGUUAGGCAGUGGAAAAAAACUUUUCACCUAGCUGGAUCUUGACCAGGUGAUACGGAAAAUGUUUUAUGAAUGAUGUAUUAAAAUUUAAAAAACUAGCUAUUCAUAAAGAUUAUAACUUUUAAUUAGUUGCUGUCAUCUGUCUCUGACCAUGCUCUAUUCCAUUUUGCUAACUUUCUAUCAUACUAGUAGGCAUUGACUGAUUGGUGCCUGCAAAUCAUAAUGGUAGUGGAAUCAUCAGGAUUUUGAACUUCCUAUGCUGCAAUAAGCAAACGUGUAUUAAAUUUAGAAUUCCAUUUUUCUUAUCCCAUCAAUUAGGAAAUGUUUAACAAUGACAUUUUAUCCUCUUUGCAGGUUGCACAGAGACAUACGAGA